GUCGAACGGCAGCACGGGGGCACCCUGGUGGCGAGUGGCGAACGGGUGAGUAAUACAUCGGAACGUGUCCUGUAGUGGGGGAUAGCCCGGCGAAAGCCGGAUUAAUACCGCAUACGCUCUGCGGAGGAAAGCGGGGGCUCCUUCGGGACCUCGCGCUACAGGGGCGGCCGAUGGCAGAUUAGCUAGUUGGUGGGGUAAAGGCCUACCAAGGCGACGAUCUGUAGCUGGUCUGAGAGGACGACCAGCCACACUGGGACUGAGACACGGCCCAGACUCCUACGGGAGGCAGCAGUGGGGAAUUUUGGACAAUGGGCGCAAGCCUGAUCCAGCAAUGCCGCGUGUGUGAAGAAGGCCUUCGGGUUGUAAAGCACUUUUGUCCGGAAAGAAAACCUCAGCCCUAAUACGGCGGGGGGAUGACGGUACCGGAAGAAUAAGCACCGGCUAACUACGUGCCAGCAGCCGCGGUAAUACGUAGGGUGCAAGCGUUAAUCGGAAUUACUGGGCGUAAAGCGUGCGCAGGCGGUCCGCUAAGACAGAUGUGAAAUCCCCGGGCUUAACCUGGGAACUGCAUUUGUGACUGGCGGGCUAGAGUAUGGCAGAGGGGGGUAGAAUUCCACGUGUAGCAGUGAAAUGCGUAGAGAUGUGGAGGAAUACCGAUGGCGAAGGCAGCCCCCUGGGCCAAUACUGACGCUCAUGCACGAA
This 702-nucleotide ribosomal RNA is filed under the name Paraburkholderia terricola. RNAcentral's name for it is "bacterial SSU rRNA". It matches the Rfam family "Bacterial small subunit ribosomal RNA", at positions 61 to 757 of the family's 1533-position model. Lineage: Bacteria; Pseudomonadati; Pseudomonadota; Betaproteobacteria; Burkholderiales; Burkholderiaceae. The record is from RNAcentral.